UUUGAAAGAACACAAUCGAUGUGCAGGACCUUUACUAUUAUAAGUACAACAACAACAACAACAACAACAAUGCCUUAGCACACAAGUUGGGCCAGCAACCUCUACUAUUAUAAGUAAGACUAAGAAAAGAGCAUUUAAAAUGAUCAAAUUUUACUUACUUCAAAAUGAUAAAACUAUCCUGAGAAUACUUACUUGCUGAACUAGAACUCUUAUUCGGGCGAGCAAAGCCAAUACUGUCAAGGAAAAUCCCAUAAAAAAGGAUCGUGCAAGAAGUGUCGAGAUCUCCCUGUAUACAGUUAAGGGUAAAAAAACAAU
RNAcentral lists this long non-coding RNA (315 nucleotides) under Nicotiana benthamiana. Its description in RNAcentral is "long non-coding RNA (NBEN_LNC001826)". The record is from RNAcentral. Lineage: Eukaryota; Viridiplantae; Streptophyta; Magnoliopsida; Solanales; Solanaceae.